RNAcentral lists this unclassified non-coding RNA (207 nucleotides) under Hevea brasiliensis (rubber tree). The record is from RNAcentral. Lineage: Eukaryota; Viridiplantae; Streptophyta; Magnoliopsida; Malpighiales; Euphorbiaceae.
GGUGUCCCAGAUGCGACAGAGACCAUCAUAGCUACUUGAAACUAUCAAGGAUCCAUCACGAUUAAAAUGAACGGCCGAGACUGGAUCCGAGUGAGCUGGCAAAGUCUUGAGGCACUUCCCUGUUUUCACAUCCCAUAUCCUCACGCUUUCGUCAAAGGAUCCUGAGACAAUAAGGUUGGACUGGGGAUUGAAGUUGCAGCAAAAGAC